ACUUGUGCCCAGAGUUUGAUUUUCCACAGACCAGGUAGAGGCCAAGAGCCUCUCACAGACUCUGCAGCAGGGUUGCUAUGAUUAACUCUUAAGUACUCCACAACUACACGCUUUUGAAACUGGCGUUGGCAUAGCGUUAGUUCUGUGCAGGGCGGACGCAGCAGGACAGAAUCUCCCUGGGCAUCUUUUCGGAGCAUCAAUUUUACUGCAAAAUUUUGAAAAAACAAAUUUAAUUGAUUUCCAAGGUUUGUCAAGGAGGACAGAAACUCAGAGCACCCUGCACUUGGGGAUCGGCACUAGGAGCUGCUCUCUGGAUGGGGAGAUGGGAGCUAGCAGCUCACAAUGGGGUCACAAGACAGGAGUGUUAUUGGGAGAAUCCUGUUUUGUUGACAAAUACUGAGAUCAUCCAACUCACCAGGCAAAGUUGACUUGUGUAAGUGAUCUUCAGAUAUGAAAAGUGUGGAACCCAGCUGCUCCUCCUCAGAUAGGCGACAUGACAAUUGUAGGCCUGGAGGGAGAUGAGUUGACAACAUCCCUUCCCUAUAACCACUUGUUGGAUCUGAUCUCACAUACACAGACUCACUCCAAAGACUGACCUGGGUGUCUGCUUCUCAGCUUCAUUAACAGUGGGUGCUCACAAGUCUAGUGGAGAGAAUGUCUGAGAAGAGGAGGACCUUGACUGCUCCUGAACCGGAGACCUCAGAACCAUGGUGCUCUCCUGUCCAGGCUGAACACUAAUGCUCUUGAGAGUCACAUUGAAGAAAGCCAACAUUUUUAAAUCUAAUGGAUACAUUCAUUUUGUGGUAUGUGAUGUUUAGAAAGAGGGAGCUAAAGUUAGUGGUCAUGAGCUAAAUACCCUGUGAGCAUCUUCACUCUCCUUCUGUAUCACAGACUAAAACCCACUGACUUGAUCAUCUGUCCCUUGCCCCUCGUCCACAUAGUGAACUUCUUCAUUGCACUGUUAUUGCAGUCUCCAAAUCUGUUUGCAUCAUUGAACUUCAGAAUGACUUCAAGUUAACAGGAUCUUCUACACUGUAGCUGCUUCCAGUGUGAGCCAGACAAAUGUACUGAAUAUAGGCCUCAGAGGUGAUCCCACCACCUUCACAGCAAUGGUCCUUCCCCAGGAGCUUCCCCUGAGAAACGGGCCAUCCAGACCAUACUGCUGCUGAAUAAUGUCUCAUUGGAAAUCUCAACAUUCUUCAUUUAGAACACCACCGCCAAUAUCUACCAUAUGCCGGGAUUAUUGUGCAGGGUAAUUUUUAUUAUUACUUGAAUGUAUAUUUAUAUACUGCAGGAACUAUACAUGUUUAUGGCUAGAAUUACUGUUUUUCCUUAAUAUUAAGAUAGUAUUGGUAGAUUUAAUUAUCUGAAUUUAGUCAUUUGGCUCCAGUCAAAAUGGUUUCUCCUUAGCAGUACUCUGACUUUGUAAAAGUAAUCACAUUUGGAUUCUGUUUCCUCCAGUAGUUUUUAAAAUGAUUUUUUUGAUUAUUCAUAUAACUUUUUUUUAAUGAUCUUUUAAAAACUAGUAUGUGGUUAUAUAUUACUUGUUACACUUUUUGUUUUCUUUAUUUUUUGGUUGGUUACACCUUAAAUGAUUAUUUCUAUUGCCUUUUAAUGUUACUUAGAAAAUAUCACAUGUAAGACUUUUGCUUUUAUAAAGUUAGUAAUACAUUUUCAAGCCUAAACUCUUGAAAUUUUAAUAAUUUCUAUGAUAUUUGAAAAUUAUUUUUAUCUUCUUUUGAGUGCUAAAAGAUAAUAUUUGUCUACCUGAUUAACUAGCACAACUUUUAAAAAGUUAUUUAGCACUCUUUAUAUUCAUUCAUUUGUUUU
RNAcentral lists this long non-coding RNA (1830 nucleotides) under Homo sapiens (human). Its description in RNAcentral is "HSALNT0341079". Lineage: Eukaryota; Metazoa; Chordata; Mammalia; Primates; Hominidae. The record is from RNAcentral.